RNAcentral lists this unclassified non-coding RNA (364 nucleotides) under uncultured bacterium. RNAcentral describes it as "contains 16S-23S intergenic spacer region". The record is from RNAcentral.
UCCGAGUUUCUCUCGGCAGUCUGGCAUGAGUGAUACAACAUGCCACGAGGGUUGCGCUCGUUGCGGGACUUGACCCAACAUCUCACGACACGAGCUGACGACAGCCAUGCAACACCUGCAUACCGGUCCCUUGCGGGAGGACGACGUUUCCGGUUCUUACCACCAGCAUGUCAAACCUGGGUAAGGUUCUUCGCGUUGCGUCGAAUUAAACCACAUGCACCACCGCUUGUGCGGGCCCCCGUCAAUUCCCUUGAGUUUCAACCUUGCGACCGUACUCCCCAGGCGGGAAGCUUAAUGCGUUAGCUGCGCCACCGACAAGUAAACUUGCCAACGGCUAGCUUCCAUCGUUUACGGCGUGGACUAC